This is a non-coding RNA of Danio rerio (zebrafish), 1295 nucleotides long. NCBI's taxonomy places the organism in Eukaryota, Metazoa, Chordata, Actinopteri, Cypriniformes, Danionidae. The record is from RefSeq and is a predicted model, not a curated record.
UCAAUAUGAAACUUAACCGGCAGCCAGUGUAAGGAGGAUUAAACUGAAACUAAUGAAACAUGAGUUGCAUUAUCAAGUUUUUCUUGUUAUAAUUUGUUUUCUAAAAGAGUGUCUCACAUAUGAGGCAAAGGAAAUGUCUGUUGAAGCCAGUAUCAACAUUGGCAAAGAGACUCAUCCUGUGGCAUACUGUAAGCUGACGUUUGCUUCUGCCGACACAAGGCUCAUUUUGUUCUUUGGGUUUUCUACUCUUGGAUGUUUGACCUGAAAAGAUGCUGAUGAAAUCCUCCUUGAUUUUCCUGGCAUGUUUGUUUCUUGUGGAUACUUCCCUUGAUAAAGAUAAGACCACUACAAAAAGAAAAGCUCAGAGGGAGGAAAUGAAAAUCACCCAACCUAAUAAGAGUCUGACCUCAACUGGAAGAAGCAGAGAGGUCUUAAACCGGACUAAAGAAAUCAAGACAAGAAACGACAUGGGAUGUACAAGCAUAGGAGGCAUCUGUCAACGAAAUAGUUACAUCUGUCAGGGCAGAUACUUAAAGGAUAAAUGUCGGGGGGAGAAGUCACGCCAGUGUUGCAUGCCAGGUGUGUUCUUAAACCAUAUUGACUUGAGAGGUUUCUUUGAAUUUUUGACUUGAGUGAUUUCUUCGAAAAAUGAGCCAUAAUAACUUCUGUUUUCCUGUUUCAGCAUGGAGUGCUCUGUGUGCUGGUAGUCAUUAUAACAGAGUACGAGCUUGUGACAGCUAUGGUUGCGGUGGCUUUAACUCCAGAAGUGAUUUGGGUCUCCACAAAGGAAUUGAUAUCGUGUGUGAUAAUUAUGGCAUCAUCAACGCGCCUUUUUCUGGAAACCUGGUUGGUCCUGUUGGGAGAGCAGUGGGAGAGUCUAUUCAAUACGAUGGUGUCAAACUCUAUAACAAAGGAGAGGCAAUGGGUUACCUGUUACCCCUACAGGACACUUUCUCUGGCAUUACCUCACACCUGGAGCUUCAGAUGUGUGAUGGGUCUGAUCCCUCGCCCUUCAUAUGAGACUUGCUCAUGGAAAAUGAAUUCAAAAUGCUUUUUUUUUUUUUUUUUAGAACUACAGUGCAUGGCUUCAAAAUGUGCUUAUGCAUUAGUUUAAAAGCAUGUUUUAUCAGUGAAAAAGCACCACAAGAUGGCAGCACAAAUCUACAGAAUAACAAGAAAACAAACAUGAUGAUAAUUUAUAUUAUUAAUAUUGUCAGUUUUUAACCACCUCAAAUACUCACACACUUUUUUGUAUUUGGAUGAAAAAUAAAAGCCUCAGAGUACAAACUGCACAU